RNAcentral lists this ribosomal RNA (408 nucleotides) under uncultured bacterium. RNAcentral's name for it is "partial 16S ribosomal RNA". It matches the Rfam family "Bacterial small subunit ribosomal RNA", at positions 28 to 526 of the family's 1533-position model. The record is from RNAcentral.
GACGAACGCUGGCGGCGUGCUUAACACAUGCAAGUCGAACGAAGUGGCGAACGGGUGAGUAAUACGUGGGUAACCUGCCCUUCAGAGGGGGCCAACAGUUGGAAACGACUGCUAAUACCGCAUACUGAAGGAGGGGAUUGCGUCUGAUUAGCUAGUGGGAGGGGUAACGGCCCACAAAGGCGAUGAUAAGUAGCCGGUCUGGGAGGGUGAACGGCCACAUUGGGACUGAGACACGGCCCAGACUCCUACGGGAGGCAGCAGUGGGGAAUCUUCCGCAAUGGACGAAAGUCUGACGGAGCAACGCCGCGUGAGUGAUGACGGCCUUCGGGUUGUAAAGCUCUGUUAAUCGGGACGCGGUACCGGAAUAGAAAGCCACGGCUAACUACGUGCCAGCAGCCGCGGUAAUUC